AAUCGGCAACCUGAGGUGCACCUGAACAGCCCUGGGCUGCCUGCUAUAGCAGCUCAGCAGACACCAUGGCAGCCUUCGAUCCAUCCAGGGAAUGUUGCUGCUGCCACAGGGUUAGGAGACUGCACGCCAGGAGUGAUGGGCAGGCCAAGAUAGGCCUAACUAGGUCCGGCAGAGCUGGGGAGCCGACCGGCCGAAGGGCAUCCUAGCGUGGCCGGACUCACAGGAAUGCGGUCCAGCCC
This 239-nucleotide long non-coding RNA is filed under the name Homo sapiens (human). Its description in RNAcentral is "HSALNT0196000". The record is from RNAcentral. Lineage: Eukaryota; Metazoa; Chordata; Mammalia; Primates; Hominidae.